CAGAAUUUUACCAGGACUGAAGGUGGAUCAGAUUCUUAUAGUUUCAACUGUGGAGGCAACUAGCAAAAAAUUCGAUCUCUAACCAGAACAAGACCAGGUCAUCUUAGAGAUACAGAUGGAAAAGGCCAGAGUUCUACCCUCUGAAUAUCUCUGAGUCACAGAGAGGAAGUCUGUAUUGGGUGGGGGACUAUGCUAAGCUCUGGAGAUAAAAAUACAAAAGAGAAAUAGUUCCUGCCCUCAAGAGGCUUACAUUCUAACGAUGAAGAUAAGACAUAUAUGGAAGUUGUGCACAGGAAAGUGUAUAGUGGCAUGGAUGAAAAACAGGAAGCAAACCAGAUGUCCAAUGACUGAGGAAUGGCUGAACAAGGAUUUUAGAUGGUAUAAAACAGUCACCAUUGUGAGGAGGCCAAAAAAUCCCAGAAAUAACUUCAUCCAGCUAACACUAGAUUUUCUUUCCAAAUGGAGAGAUAUAGCAUUCCAGAAGAAAACUAGUUGAAAGUAUAAGCAAAACAUUAUGGAGAAGGAUGACAGAAGCAGUGACACCUCCACAAACAGUGAAAAGCGGUGAAGAAGAAGACAGCCAAACCAGAUCAUCCUGAAAGCAUUUAUAGAUAAAAUCAGGAGGAAAACAACAAAUGGAACAGGUUUGUCAGUGCUAUCACAGUGAUCUCUUCACCAAUGACAAUGUCUACACUUGGAUUCUACCACUUCUGACCCUACUGUGUGAUGUGAGGAAGUAAAAAUGGAAAUUAAGAACAUGAAGUCGGGAGGUGUUAGAGGCGGGCCUAACACCAUCUAUGUCUUAGUUCAGGUUCAAUUUGGGGAUGAAAAGAAACACAUGAGUUACUGAAUAGUUAACAAAAAGGAAUUUACUUUAUGCGUUAUUCUAACACAGCAAAGAUAUGCAACUAGGAUUACGUGACAUUAUCCUAGGCUUUGGUAGACACAGUCUCCCUAUUCUUUAUGGAGAUAUAUCUCAUCAGCAGUUCAGCAGGGCUUCUAUAAUACAGCAGUCUGCAUGGUCUCGGGUACCCACCGAGUCUGAGAGGCCUAGACUCCACACAUAUGGGAUGUUUUAUGCCUUUAGCUGACCAGUCAGCUGCAUCAGGAAAGCCGGGGCCAAUUGCAGGGACAAAUUUGCCUCCUCUUAGGGAAAACUAAUCUCUGUCACAGGAAGGAAGGAGGAGUUGUAGCCCUAACCCACGUUUGUAGAAAUGCUAGUAGUUAGGCUUUAUCACAGGAGGAAAAUCUGGACCUGAACAAAACACAGAAGAAAUCCGUGCUGGGGGCAACAAAACUUUAGAGAAACCAGGGGAUUAAUUUUAAAGAUACCUUAACAGAGAGAAGAGUUUAAACAAAUGGAAAAAGAUCUUGGGCAGUAUCAAUGAACUGAUCAACAAGUAUUAAGUGCCUACUACGGGCAACUAGGUGGUGCCGUGAAUAGAGCACCUGAUCUGGA
Phascolarctos cinereus (koala) is the source of this 1459-nucleotide long non-coding RNA. RefSeq lists it as uncharacterized. The record is from RefSeq and is a predicted model, not a curated record. Lineage: Eukaryota; Metazoa; Chordata; Mammalia; Diprotodontia; Phascolarctidae.